AGGAGACACAGAAGAUGGAGGGAGGGAUGGCAGCCUACCCUGUGGCAACGCGGGAGUCGCGUUGCCGCAGGGGGCGCAUUGGGGUCCAGCCGUCCCCAGAACGCAGAUCAGAGGUAGUCGGACCUUUCCCGCUGGCGCGCAGCCUCAGCUAGGGCACACAGAGUGAACAGAAAAAGAGGAUACCUCUGCGAUCCCGGGUCAUCUCCAGAUGCUAGGGUUAUGGGUGAGUGCUCUUUAUCCUUCUGAAUCCUCUUCCUUAUCCUUUUCAAAAAGUCUGUUUUGGCCAGGCGCGGUGGCUCACGCCUGUGGUCCUGGCACUUUGGGAGGCCGAGGCGGGCUGAUCCCAUGAGGUCAGGAGUUCCGGACCAGCCUGGUCAGCACGGCGAGACCCCAUCUCUGCUGGAAAUGCAAAAAUUGGCUGGGUGUGGUGCCAAGUGCCUGUGGUCCCAGCUGCUUGAGGGGCUGAGGCAGGAGAAUCGCUUGAACCCGGGAGGCGGAGGUUGCAGUGAGCUGAGAUCGUGCCACUGCGCCCCAGCCUGGGCGACAGAGCAAGACUCUGUCAUAAAUAAAUAAAUAAACAAAACAAAACAUCAUAACAUAUAGAAAAAAUUUUCAAACAAUACAAAUUGACACUUGACUGAUUCCCAGAGAGUGAAGGCAGUGUGGCAUAGCAGAAAGAGCGAGGUCUGAAGUCAAAUCGUAUGGGUUUAAAACUUGGCUUUGCCUGAUAUGAUCUGUAAAGUGUAGGCAAAUCUGUUGACUUCUUUGGGUCUCAGUUUAUCAUCUACAAAAUAGGCUUAACAAUUAUUUUCAUGAUUGCUGGGAGGACUAGAUAGGAUGAUAUAUGUGAAAGUUCUUAGUAGGUACAGAAAUUAUACUAAAAAAGACAAACAAAUCCACAUGCUAUAAUGCAGUGUGGACUAUCUUUGGUAACCCACAUGUCAAAGGUAGUCUUAAACUGCUCUGGUUUGGUAAAUGUUGGCGUAAACUAGAAGUCAGAGACUAUGGGAUCCACCCUUAUCUGCUCUCGAGCUUUGGUUUACAAUGAGCUCAAGUGUGGGGAUUGUGUCAAAUGAUUCCUGGAAUCCCAUACAUUUGUAAAAUUCUAUGAAUUUGUGAAGUCUGCAAAAUGUGAAUCUGAGGUGUAUGUACUGUAGAGCAACUAUUAGACCAUUUAUCACAUUAUAUAUAGAUAGACAGAUAUAUCUAUAUAUAAUUUUUUUUUUAGGCAGAGUCUUGCUCUGUCACCCAGGCUGGAGUGCGGUCUCGGCUCACUGCAACCUCCGCCUCCUGGCUUCUGGCCGUUCUCCUGCCUUAGCCUCCCAAGUGGCUGGGAUUGCAGGCACCUGCCACCAUGCCCGGCUCAUUUUUGCAUUUUUAGUGAAGAUGGGGUUUCGCCGUGUUGGUCAUUCUGGUCUUGAGCUCCUGACCGCAGGCGGUCCACCCACCUUAGCCUCCCAAGGUGCUGGGAUUGCAGGCGUGAGCCACCGCGCCUGGCUAUCACAUUAUAUUUUACAGAAGCCAUCAUCCCAUACCUUUGAGUCCAGCCCCAGAAAGAGCGGUCCCUUGCAUACCAUUCAAUAUGACCUUGGGCAUCCUUUCCCCACUCCCCAGCCAUAGCUGUUUGGGCUAGGGUUGGAAACCUGUCCAUGGUAGGCCCUUUGGAGUCUCUUGCUGGCCACUUGGGAUUACAAUGGAGACAGUCAAGUUAACAGACAGUAAUGCUGGACCUGGACAGUUGCCAGCACGUGUUGGAGGCUGAGAGCACCAUCCAGUGUAAGCCAUGGUGGAUGGUGUAGUAGGAGAGCAAAGGAAGGCAAUCUGCAAAUGGGUUGGAUGGGGAGGGGGAGAAAAGGUGGGAGAAAGAGAGAAAUAUAAAAUGAGGGAAGCAGAGGAAGAGAUAACAUGGCAAUGAAGAAAGUAACAUCUUUGGUCAUUUUCUGUUCCAAUCACCCACAGCAGGCCUGUCGGUUCUCUUUUACCUAAGUAGAUUUUAGUGGCUUUUCUAUUCUUGAUCUCCAACCAUGCCCUAAGACAUACGGCAAUGGUAACACAGACUGAGGAUUCUCUGAUGGCAGGGCUUUGUCUCAUUCCUUUUUGCAACAAGCACAAAGUAGAUGCUCAAUGAAUUUAUACUGAAAUGACAUGAAAAUCAUGUUUGUGUAUGAAGUGUCACUGAUGGCAUUUAUAUGAAAAAGGUUAAUUAAAAUAAUUAUGUUUUUAAAAAAGUCUGUUUUAUCCUAUGAAAUGGGCAGUGGUUCUGGGAUUUCAGCCCAUCUACAGAAGACACUGCUGAGGCAUGUAGAUAACUGGCAUGGGGCAAUGGUGCCCUAUUCUGUAGCUUUCCACCAUGCUUAGUAGGAAAGACUUUUUGAAUGAGGUCCUGAUAGUGAGGCCCAAAGUAGGAAGUGCAUGGAUGAGCACCUAGGCAAGAUGUGUUUCCUUCAGGGGAUUGGGAUCAUUUCUUGGAACUUGAGGUCAGUGUCCUGUAGUGUAGGGGAGAGGGGAAAUGGGUUGGGACUGGGACUCUGGGAGGCUGGCCAUCUGCCAGUUAUGGGAUCUUUGGGCUCCCAGAGUUACUUUUAAGAAGUGGUCCUGGCCUCACUUAAGAAGAGAAAGUCUGUUGGAGACCCAGGGAAGACAGACAGGUCUUUUGGGCCUUCACCUUAUUGGUGUUGAGUACAGCUCUGCCUUCUUGUCCUGCCCAUUAUCUCCCAAUCCCUCUUGGGCCCAACUCACUGCACAAUGGCCCUCCUGACUGGUGAGGACAUGGAGUGCACUCUGCCUUAACUGUUAGAGGGUGAUUGGGCUAAAAGGGGUGGGAGGCCACACUCACGCAGCCUGGUGCCAAUCGCUCAAUGUCCCUUAUGUCUGUCUCUUGACAUACUGAGGAGAAAUGUGGGGGAAUGUGUCUUGAAGAGGUGUUAUUCCACACAAGCCAUCAGAAGUACACCUACCACAAGCCUGCUUGUAAGAAUUGUCCUGCCAUUGAUCCUGGCAUGGACAUCACAUAUGAGGAGGAUGGGUAUCUCUAGUUUGGCUCCUGUCUCCCCUCCUCACUGACCCAAGCGUGCAACCUUCCUUGUCUGGAGACCAUUCCUCAUCUGGAGGGUACGGCCAUGUGAAAGGAGCGGGGUCCUCAGGCCACAUUGUCUUGUGAUGGCAGUUUUUCCUCACUGUUCACCCCAGUUCUGGUGCCGCUGCGCCACCAUUUUGUGGGUAUUGCAUCCUGAGACCUCUGGGUCAAGCUGACCUUUUAGUGGCUUAUGUCAAUGUCCAAGUCAAAAUGUUACUUGGUAAGCAGAGUUUAAGUCUGGCUCCAACUCUCUGCCCAGACUCAAGAUAUUUUCCUGUGGUCUCAGCCAGCUCCAGUGCUAAAGAUUCAGCCAUGGCUUUUAGGUAUGAUCAUAAGGUAAUGAUUAGAGCCAUUUCUCCUUGUCAAGAGGAAAGUUUGAGACCACCCUACUGGGAUGAAGCCCUGCAAGAUGGAGGACCAGCAAUGAGAACUGGGAGCCCCAAGGAUUCAGCCAGGAUAAACACUGGCUGGCUUUUUCUUCAGUAGCAAAUGGCAGAGGGAUGGAAUAUUGGGGAGGAAAGAGGGGAAGGAAUGCUGGCAUUUCUGGCAUAAUAGUGCCAUCUAGAAGAACUUGUUUGACAAUCCCAUGAACCCUUGCUCAUGAUUGUCUGAGGAGUGGCUUGGGAGUGAAGUGGGGUUUCAGGAGGGAACAGAGCUAUCUGGAUGCAUGGGAGAAGUGUGGCCAAUGGCCAUUUGGGGCUGUCAAGCUUCAGAGACAAGCACCAGGUCAAGACCCCCAGAGCACCUGGUGGGACCUGUACUGGAAGCCCUGGCUCAUGAUUCUGUUGGUAGCCAUGUCUGGAUAGGGCUAGCAUAAAUCUCUGCAAAGGAUCCCCACCCUGAGGUUACAGCCAUUUUACCACCUGCCCCUUUACUGGCUGCAGUGCCUGCUCCUGAGAGUGCCAUACUUCUGGCAGAAGCCUGUUUUUAGUGCUGUGUGUCCCACACCAAAGAGAGCUAGUGCCUAGAUCCCUGCCUUUGCAGAGUUCUUCUUGGCCACCUUCCUUCAAAGUCCCAGGAGCCUCAGGGCAAUGAGCAGGAAUUGGCCUUGCUUCCCAUUCACCCCUGGCUCUCCCAAGUCUGAACCUGUGUUUAUCCAGGUAGCUGGGAAUCAAGAAGGGCCAGGAGUCCAUGCCAGAAUCUAACCACUGUAGGGUUCUGUCAUCAUCCUUCCUUUCUCCAUGCCCAUUUCUCUCUGUGCAUCCAGCCCUAGCCUCCUCCCCAUUUCCCUCAGAUCUACUUCUCAUCAAGCAGUCCUGCCGAGCCAAGAACGAGGUACAUACUCCUGGGUACAUGGCCUAUUUUAUACACUCCAUCUUCCUAAUGGCCUACUCCUGGAAAACAUCGUGGUUAAGUUGUGCUUUUGCCAGCUCUUAACUGACUGAGGCUAUGCUCCCUGGUCAGUGCUUGCCCACAGGCCUGGUAGGAAGACUCAAGGCCCAGAUCUCCACCUUUUUUUUUUCUUUCACCUCCCAAAUGGGUGCCAAAAACUGCUCUAGUCCUUUCUCAGUUUCAUACUUGUGAGUUUCCUAAAGUGUUGCCCAGUGGUCUUAUGUGGGCAGAGCCUUUUAGGGUCAAUCAACCUUCUUUUUUCCAAGCCUCAGGGCAAGACCUGGACCUACAGGAUCUGAUUGAUCCUAAGCUCAAGGCUGUGAGUGUGAUGCUCUGAGAGUGUUCCUUAGGUUUGAGCCAAUGCUGUAAGACAAGCAGAUACACAGAACAUAGAUCUUCAUGUUUGAACCCAGGUUUCUUCCACGAGGAGAGGAACCAGAUCAUACUAAGGAACUAGAGCCUAACAAACAGUGCACUUCCGGAUUGUUCUUGAGCUGAAGUACAGCACAAUACAGACCUAGGUCCUCUGACACCAGAGCUCAAUGUUGGUAUCAACUUGAUCCCCAAUGAGUGUCAGCACUCUCUGCCCCAUGGGACAAAAUGUGUGCAAUGGCACGCUGUGAGACCUUUGACCCAGACUUUCUUUGACAGGAGCAAAAAUUAACCAGACAAAGUUUGAAGUGCAAUGUACUUCAACUACUCUUUCUUGUAUCAUUGUAGUACCCCCCAAAUCAGGAAAUUUUCUAUCCUUUUUAUGAGCUACACCUAGCAAUGUGGCUACUGCCACCUCCCCUUUAUUUGGCUGGCCCUGGGACCUCCAGGGCAGUGCCUCCUUUCUUCGCUUGAAGUUACAUCUUCACCAAGAGCAAAGAUCCACAGUCAAAAUGCCCUGUGGUAGCUCCAGGUUCCCAAACAUGGCUGCCACUAAGGCCUGGCCUCUGCCGCCUCCCGAGCCUGGCAGGCCUGGCAGCCCAGGGUUUCUUGGUGGGCAAGCUCGGCUCCCUCGCUUUUGCACUGAAUCUGGAGGCACCCAGUCAGGUGCCCACAUCCAGUCCCAGAAUUCCCUGAGUGCCCCAAACCUACCCUUUGUUCUAUUAGAAACCUUCCCCUCUGGAUACACUGCGAAGGGCUGGAAGCCAUGCUCAAAAAGCUUCCUCUUGAUGGCACUGUUGUUCCAGAAAUGCCAACCGCCCCGUCCUACCAGGCCUCUCCCUCCACCCUUUGUGGAUGAAAAAACACCAGGGAAGGCCCACAACCAGUAUAAGCCUUAGAAGCAGAGUUUAUUCUGCUAUAGUGCUACAAGGCAGGGCUGAGUGUACCUUUCUCUGGGGCUCUUGGUUUUAAUAUAAAUGUCUGUGUGUAAGUGUUCAUCAAAAAGAACAGAUGUAUCCAUGUAUCUGUUGCUGUUAAUACAUCAUCCCUUUAUGAGCGUUAAGUCUAAAUAUCAUGUAAAUGUGUCAGUGGCUUCUGGGCACACUUGUGGGUUUAUAUAGGAUAUCUUAGGUAGAAUUCUUGCUCUUAUGGGGACAUUGACUCAUAGCUUGAGGUGGGCUGAGUACCUGGAUUUCCCUUCUUAUCUUGGAGUUGUUGCUUCUCUUCUGUCCUCAUGGAGCCAGGGCAAUCUUACCCAAGGCAGUCCAGCAGCCUCUUGUAGCUUAAGAUGUCAGCAGCAGGCCCUAGAGGGAAUGGCAGGCUAUUGCGGGGCCUGCAGGAAUUGACAGGUGCUAUAUCAGGUGAGAAGACUUUUUCAAAGUGAAAAUAAAAAUCUAGAGAUGAAUAUCUAAAUUUAACAUUUUAUUACAGGAGGAAAAAUUGCAGUUUGGUGCAUACAUACAGAUUCGGUGGCCUUUAGUAUUUCUGAAGAAGAAAGAGGAGGUUGCAGGUUUUAUAAAAGGAGAAAUGUCACAUACAGUUUUUCUAGAAAGUUCAUUGGUACUAGUAACGUAUUGUGGAGCUAGCAGUCUCUGAUGGGUGAGUGAUAGUCUUGGGUAAAAGUGGUCUUAGAGUUUUGAGCAGGUUGUUUCAGUAGCUGUUAGAUAAAAGUGUUUUCAGGAUAUAACAGGCAGUUUUAUCAUCCAGGCUGGUAGAGAAUUACAUUCUUAGAGCAAUGUAAUAAUGCCCUGAGUGCUUCUUCCCCCUGAACUCUUGACUGUUUUAGUUUUAUAUUGUAAGAAUGACCCAAUGUGUGUGAUCAACUUUCACACGCCCCUCUUUGAUCAAGAUCCUUCUAUGAAUGCAUGACUGAUCAACCAUUGUGAAGUUAGGCUUAAUUGUCUCUCGGUGCUGGGAUGGAGCUGUCCUGUUGUCUUCCUCAUUGAGGGUAAGUCAUAGGGGUGUAUAUCAGUGACCUGGGUCAUAUUGGAGUAACAAGGAGGCCAGAAGGAAAAAUUUUCUCAUGGUAGGUUCAUCUGGAGUCCAGCAUCAAGUUUCAUCUUACAGUUCCAUAGUCAUCAGCAGUCACCUUGAAACAAUGGGCUAAUUUUAUCCCCUUCAGAGAGCUGGCUUUACAAAGAUUAGACAGGUAAUAAGAGCAACACUUAAAAAUCAUAAUACAAAAAUAAAAAACAAUAUAAUAAAAUUAGUUUGCACAAUGGUUUUGCUCUAAGAGCACAAACUUAAGGGCAACAACUAAACAAAUCAAAAGACCAUAGAGGAAACUAGGUGAGACCUGUUAUAGCCACUGAGUAGCAUUUUCUGACUUGGUAAAAUUAAAACAGAGAAUGCCAAUUUUACAAAAGGAACCACCAUUAUAAUUUGAACAAAAUUUUUAAAGUUGCCCACUAGGUGAACUAAAAGGAUUUCUUUGGUCAGGUUUUGUCAAGUUAUCUAUAGCAGUUACUGGUUGCUAAAAAAAAGUAAUUAUGUCAACUUCCUGCCAAGUGAAAAAAAAAUAUCAUUAAGGGAAGUAAGACUUUCAUUAUGAUAUGUCAUUCUGAUGUCUUAGGAAAGGUCGUUUAUGGCAUGAAAAAUGUCAACUUCUUGUCCUGGUUUACAGUUUGAAUGUCUCUGGCUUUGGUGUCAGGGAGUUUGGUGACCUUUCUGUGUGGUUCAUAUAUCAGGCACAAGAUUUGUUCCUUAAAAUUUAUCUAGUUUUAGCUUACAGGCCUUAGAAACGAAGUAGUUCCUGCCUUAGGAGUUUUAUGGAAAAAAGUUGGAUUGGAGGAACCUAGAAUAAUUUAGGACCACGUGUAGUGUAUAAGUAGAUAAUAAGAGCUUGAAAACAAUGUGCAGAGUUAAAAUCUAAUAACAGGUGUAGUAUAGCUCUUUUUUAGAAACAACCUUUUCUUUCUACAUUGAUCAUAUAGGAAAUCUCAGAUUUUAAAACCUCAUGAGGCUAGAAAGCAAAACCAAGACCAACUUUAGAUUUUAUUAUAAUCUUAGGAUUCCUGGACCUGCUGGGAAGUGACAGUUUUUAUUUACUCACUAUAAGGCUGGGAACCCUUAAGUCAGGCAUUUUAUGCAUAUUUUCAAAUAUGUCAUUUCAGUCAAAGCCUUGGUAAUAACCAUGCUUUUAAAUUGUAUUCUGCUAUAAAGAAGACAGAUUUUUAUUGGGCUUAUGCAAAUAAUCAUAUUACCAUAAGAAUACUAACAAAUACUUUCUGAAUUCUGGAGGAAUCAAGGAGAAAAAUCCAAAUGAUUUUCCUUUUUUUCUUUUUUCUUUUACAAAAGUAUAUCUUACCAAAUUGCUAUAAAUGAUAGCUCAAGAGAGAAAAUGUUCCUAAAUCUGAAAAACAAAACAUUAAGAACCACAUGUAUCAAGUAAAAAAUCAUAAAAACAUUGUCUUCAUUAGUUAUUCAGUCUCAUAUAAUCAACAUUUGUUCUCUUUGAUCUCCACUAGUAGUUUUCUGAAUCCAUCAGUUUAUUAGAGUUCUGGAAGUUUUCAUUUAGUCCAUUGAUAUUAAAGUUAUCAGAAACCUGUAUUUAAGAGUUCUUGUGGGCCAGGCAUGGUGGUUCACACCUGUAAUCCCAGCACUUUGGGAGCCCAAGGCAGGUGGAUCACCUGAGUUCAGAAGUUCAAGACCAGCCUCAUCUUGAACUAAAAAACCCCAUCUCUACUAAACCCCGUCUCUACUAAAAAUACAAAAAAAAAAAAAAAAAUUUCCUGGGCAUUGUGGCAGACGCCUGUAAUCCCACCUACUUGGGAGGCUGAGGCAGGAGAAUCACUGGAACCCAAAAGGCGGAGGUUCCAGUGAGCCGAGAUUGCGCCAUUGCACUCCAGCCUGGGCAACAAGAGCAAAACUCCAUCUGAAAAAAAAAAAGAGUACUUGUUGGAGUUUUUUCCAUUAAUUUGAUAUUUAAUUUUAUUAAUUAGUUUAUUUCAGCUCUGUCAUCCAGGCUGGAGUGCAGUGACAGGAUCACAGCUCACUGCAGCCUCCAACUCCUGGGCUCAAGUGAUCUUCCUGCAUCACCCUCCCAAGUAAUCAGGACUAGAGGCAAGUACCACCAUAGCCAGCUAAUUAUUUUUUUGCUUUUUGUAGAGACAAGGUCUCGUGAUGGUUCCCAGGCUGGCCUUGAACCCCUGAGCUCAAGCAAUCCUCUCGUCUCAGCCUCCCAAAAUGAUAACUUUUCAAGUGUGAGCCACCAUGACCAUCCCUUGUUCAUGAAUUUGAUUGUAAAUGUUUUUACAGAAUAAUUCAAAAUGAUAACUGUGGAUUCUAAAAACUUGGAAUGGCCGUGGUUAAAAAUCUGAUGAAAGGUUGUAAUUGAUGAGAAAAUUUAGUUAGUUCUAUUACAUAUAGCAUUUUUAGGUAACAACUAGAAUUAUGAUUGAUAACAUAUUUCUAUGAAUUUAUAUAAUUUUUGAAACAUUUGCAUUAAUAGUACAUUUAUAAAUGCAACUAAGAGAAGAUCUAAUAUUGCUUAUCCUUCAACAACAUUUCUUACACAAUUUUCCAAAUAAGCUUAAUCAUUUAAUGUCUCUACAAAAUGAAAAAAAUAUCUUUUGUUGCUUUCCAGGGGUCUGAAUGGAAAAUCCUAAAGUUAAUUCUAGGUCAACAAGACUUAAUUAAGGAUUUGAUCUUGAGUAAGUUUGUCAAAGAUGUUAAAGCGCUCAAAGCAUUUGAUCAAAACAGAAUUGCAGGCCACUAUAAAAUAAUACUCAUUUAACCAAAGUGAUCAUCAAAAGACUUCAGAUGCAACACAGAGAGUUACACGGAUAUAAAAACCUUAAUCCUUUUAAAGCUCAAUUAUCCUCAGUAAUCAAAAACCUAAUAAAGUCAACACAGCAAAUUUUCUUGAUAAAACAAAAAGCCUUUGAUUCUUAGGCCAACUAACAAAAAGCCAAAGUAAAACCAUCAGCCCUGUGACUUUUUCUUCUUAAUGGAAGCUCAUUUAGAUGAACUGGAAGUUGAACCUGAUGAAUUUAAUUAGACACAAGGAUAAUGUUUCCAAGGUUAUGAGUGGAAUAAUUCAGGUAAAUCAAAAAAGCCAAGAAUACAGAGUCAAAUUUUACGGGAGGGAAAGUGCUUUUUUAGGCCUGCAAGGUAAACAUUUUAGUGUUAGGCCAUAACAGCAGGUUAGAACUAGAGAAAAAAGAGGGGCUGACAAAAAAGUUGAAGGAGAGUUUUCAUAACAGGCAUUCUCAAGGGGAUAAAAAGGUGAAUGUCAUGAUGUGUGACCUGCAAAUCACGUGCAGUGAGGUACAGCAAAAGUUGUACCUCUGAGGUAUAAAUCUGAGAAAUUUGAAAAGUAAAACUUUACCUUAACAAAUGAAAUUAGGGGGCAAAGCAAGAUGGUGGAAUAAAAGGCUCCACCUAUCAUUUUCCUCUCCCAAGGACAUAAAUUUAACAACUAUGGACACACAAAGAAUAACACCGUGACAAGAAUAAAAAAAUCAGGUGAGCACUAACAAUACCUGGUUUUACCUUUCUGUCACUGAAAGAAGCACUGAAGAGAUAGAAAAAAAGUAUUGAAGUGCUAAUGUCACCCCUCCCUCACACCCUGGCAGCAGCAGCAUGGUGCUGAGAGAGUUUCCGUGUUCUGGGGGAAGGGAGAGCAUGGCAGUUGUGAGGUGUUGAACUCAGUGCUGUCAAGUUAGAGCAGAAAGGAAAGCCAGUCCAAACUCAUCUGAUGCCUGCCAUAGUGGGAGUAUUUAAACCAGACCUAGCCAGAAGGGAAUCACCGCUUGAGUUCCUCUAAACCUCACUACCACGUUCUAAAGUGCUCAGAGACUCUAAAUGAACUCGAAAGGUAGGCUAGGCCACAAUGAUUUCAACCUUUAGAUGAGUUCUAAUGCUGAAAUGGGCCCAGAGACAGUGGACUGGUGGGGCACAUAACCUACUGAAACAUCAGCUGGGGUGGCUAAGAAAGUGUGGGCAUUACCUCUCCCCUAACCCCAAGCUACAUAGCUCACAGCUCCAAAAGAGACCCCUUCCUUCUGCUUGAUGAGAGAGGAGGGAAGAGCGAAGAGGACUUUUUAUUGCAUGUUGAAUACCAGCUCAGCCACAGCAGGAUAGGACACUGGUCAGAAUCCCGAGGCCCCCAUUCCAGGCCCUACCUCCCAGGUAACGUUUCUAGACACAACCCAGGCCAGAAAGGAACUUGCUGCCUUGAAGGGAAGGACCCAGUCCUCGCAGCAUUUAUUACCUACUAACCGAAGAGCCCUAGACCCUGAAUAGCAAGCAGAGAUAUCCAGGUACUACUUUGAAGGACUUCAGUGGGACUCUGAGACUUACUGGCUUCAAACAUGUCUCAGCACAUUUCCAACUGUAGUGGCUACAGGGCGAGACUUCUUCUGCUUAAGAGCAGAGGAAAGAGUAAAGGGGACUUUGUCUUGAACCUUAGGAACCAGGUCAACCACAGGGGGCUGUACCAAGUGGGCUCUUGGAGUACACAAUUCCAGGACUUGCCUCUUCAAUGGUAUUCCUGGACCUCUCCUGGGCCAAAGGGAAGCCCACUGCCCUGAAAGGUGAGUCCCAAGUCAGGCAGCAUUCAUCACAAACAGACAUAGGAGCCCUUGGACCUAAAGGGAACAUUGACAGUGGUCUGGCAAUACUCCCCAUGGGCCUGUGAUGGUGAUGACCACAGAGUGAGGCUUCUUUACAUUUGGAAAGGGGAGGGGAGACUGGAACGACUGCAUUUUGUGCCCUCACUGACAGCUCAGCCACAAUACAAUAGAACACCAGCAAGACUUCUAAGGUUUUGGACUCUUCUUCCUGACUCCAAGAUGGCACUCUUGGACCCACAUGGGGCCUGGGAGCACUCACUGCUCUGAAGGGAAGGGUGCAGGCCUAACUUUCCACCUGCUGAUUUUAGAGUCCCAGGGCCUUGAGUAAAUAUAGGCAGUAGCCAGGGAGUGGUUACUGCAGGCGUUGGAAAACAUGCAGUGCUGUGCUGGCUUCAGGUCUGACCCAACACAGUCAUAGUGGUGGUGGCCACAGGGGUGCUUAUAUUAUUGCAUCCCCAGUUUCAAGUCGCUCAGAACAGAGAGAGAUACUAUAUUUAUUUGAAAGAACAUAAAAAAGAGAACAAGAAUUAUCUGCCUGGGAAUCCAGAGAAAUCUCCCAGAUGUUGUCCAAGACCAUCAAGGUAGUACGUCUACGAAUCUGCAAGAACCACAGUGUUACUGGGCUCAUGGUUCCUCAUAAAGCAGAUACAGCUUAGAUGACAACACCCAAGUCCUCUCAAAUAUCUGGGAAGCCUUCACAAGAAGGAUAGGUACAAACAAGCCCAGACUGUGAAGACUAACAUAAAUACCUAACUCCUCAAUGCCCAGACACAGACAAACAUCUACAAGUAUAAAAGACAGUCCAUGGAAACAUGACCUCACCAAAUGAACUAAAUAAGGCACCAGGGAACAAUCCUGGAGAAACCGAGAUAUGUGAUCUUUCAGACAGAAUUCAAAAAAGCUCUUUUGAGGAAACUGAAAGAAAUUCAGGAUAACACAGAGCAGGAAUUCAGAAUUCUAUUAGAUAAAUUUGAUAAAUUGAAAUAGUUAAAAAGAAUCAAGCAGAAAUUUGGGAGCUGAAAAAUACAAUUGGCAUAUUGAAGAAUGCAUCAGUGUCUUUUACUAGCAGAAUUGAUCAAGCAGAAGAAAGAAAUAGUGAGCAAGCUAUUGAAAAUAGGGCAGGCAGUUUGAAAGUACGUAGAGGAGACAAAAGAAAAAAGAAAUAAAAAACAAUGAAGAACACUUACAGGAUCUAGAAAAUAGGUGGAAAAAAGCAAAUCUAAAAGUUAUUGGCCUUAAAGAGGAGGUAGAGAAAGAUAUAGGGGUAGAACAUUUAUUCAAAGAGAUAAUAACAGAGAAUUCUCAAACCUAGAAAAAGAUAGUAAUGUCCAAGUACAAGAAGAUUAUACAACACCAAGCAGAUUUAACCCAAAGAAGACCACCUCAAGGAAUUUAAUAAUCCAGCUCCCAAGAAACAAGGAUAAAGAAAUUAUCAUGAAAACAGCAAGAGAAGAGAAACAAAUAACAUAUAAUGGAUCUCCAGCACAUCUGGCAGCAAACUUUUCGGUGGAAAUUUCACAGGCCAAGAGAGUGGUAUGGCAUAUUUAAAGUGCUGAAGGAAAGAGACUUUUACCCUAGAAUAAUAUAUCCAGCAAAAAUAAUCUUAAGACAUGAAGGAGAAAUGAAGACAUUCCCAGACAAACAAACACUGAGACAUUUUAUUAACACUAGACCUGUACUACAAGAAAUGCUAAAGAAAGUACAUCAAUCAGAAAUAAAAGGAUGUUAGUGAGCAACUAAUAAUCACCUGAAGGGAAACCAAACAAGAGCAAAAGUUGCUGCACUGAUAUCAGACAAAAUAUAUUUCUAGACAAAAACUGUAACAAGAGACAAGGUCGCUAUAUAAUGAUAAAAGGGUCAAUUUAGCAAGAAUAUAUAACAAUUUUAAGUAUAUGUGCAGUCAACCCUGGAGCACCCAGAUAUAUGAAGCAAAUAUUAUUAGAGGUAAAGAAAGAGAUAGACCCUAAUACAAUAAUAGCUGGAGACUUCACCCCACUUUCAGCAUUAGGCAAAUCUUUUAGACAGAUAUUAACAAAAAAACUCAAUCUGCACUAUAGACCAAAUGGAUCUAAUAGAUAUUUACAAAACUUUUCACCCAAUGGCUAUGGAAUAUAAACUCUUCAGCACAUAGAUCGUUCUCAAGGAUAGACCAUAUGUUAGGUCAUAAAUCAAGUUUUAAAAUAUUCAAAAAAUGGAAAUAAUAUCAAACAUCUACUCUGACCACAAUGGGAUAAAACUAGAAAUCAAUAACAAGGAAUUCUGAAAACCAUACAAAUACAUUAAAAUUAAACAAUAUGCUUCUGAAGAAUCAGUGGGUCAAUGAAGAAACCGAAAAAAAGUUGAAGAAUUCCUUGAAACAGAUGAUAAUGAAGACACCAUCUACCAAAACCUAUGAAAUACAGCAAAAGCAGUAUUAUGAAAGAAGUUUGUAGCUAAAAAAAAAAAAAUCUAACAGUGUGCUUGAACUAGAAAAGCAAGAGUAAACCAAAACCAAAAUCAGUAAAUAAAGGAAAUACUAAAGAUGACAGCAGAAAUAAAUUUGAAAUGAAGAAAACAAUGCAAAAGAUUAAUGAAAUAAAAAGUUUGCAGUUUGAGAAGUUAAACAAAAUUGACCUUUAGCUGGACUAAGAAAAAGAGAAGAUCCAAAUAAAUAAAAUCAGAGAUGAAAAGGGAGACAUUAUGACUACUACAGACAUUAAAAGGAUUACUAGUGGCUACUAUGAGUAACUAUACGCCAAUAAAUUGGAAAAUCUAGAAGAAAUGGACAAUUUCCUAGACACAUACAACCUUCCAAUGUUAAACCAGUACGAAAUCCAAAACCUGAACAGACCAAUAACAAGUAGCAAGAUGGAAGCCAUAAUAAAGUCCCUCAGUAAAGAAAAGCUUGGGACCUGAUGACUUUACUGCAGAGCUGUACCAAACAUUUAAAGAAGAAUUAAUACCAAUCCUAUUUAAACAAUUCAAAAAAAAAAAUGAGGAGGGGACACUUCCUAACUUAUUCUACAAGACCAGUAUUACAUUGAUAGCAAAACUAGACAAAGAUACAUCAAAAAAAUUAAAAAAAAACACAAGCCAAUAUCUCUAAUGAAUAUUGAUGCGAAAAUCCUCAGCAAACUACUAGCAAAGCAAAUUCAACAAUACAUUAGAAAGCUCAUUCAUCACGACCAAGUGGGAUUUAUUCCAGGGAUGCAAGGGUGAUUCAACAUAUGCAAAUCAAUCAUUGCGAUGCAUCAUAUCAACAGAAGAAAGGACAAAAUCCAUAUGAUCAUUUCAAUUGAUGUCAAAAUGAUGUUUUCAUCCCUUCAUGAUAAAAAUCCUAAAAAAACUGAGGAUAGAAGGAUCAUACCUCAACAUAAUACAAACCAUAUAUGACAGACCCCAGCUAGUGUCAUACUGAAUGAGGAAAAACUGAAAGCCUUUCCUCUAGGACCUGGAACACAACAGGGAUGCCCACUAUCACCACUGUUAUUCGACAUAGUACUGAAAGACUUAGAUAGAGCAAUCAGACAAGAGAGAGAAAUAAAGGGCAUCCAAAUUGGAAAGGAAGAAGUCAGAUUAUCCUUGUUUGCAGAUGAUAUUAUCUUUUAUUUGGAAAAACCUGAAGACUCUUAGCCAGGCAUAGUGACAUGUGCCUGUAGUCCCAGCUACAUGAGAGCCUGAGACAGAAGGAUCAUAUGAGCCCAGGAGGUCGAGGCUACAGUGAGCUGAGAUCCUGUCACUGCAUUCCAGCCUGGGCAACAGAAUGAGACCUUAUCUCAAAAAAGGAAAAAAAAUGAAAAAAAGGAAAAACUCCACAAAAGAAAUUAGAACUUAUAAACAAAUUCAGUAAAGUUGCAGGAUACAAAAUUAACAUCCAGAAGUCAGUAGCAUUUCUUUAUGCCAAUGUGAACAAUCUAAAAAAGAAGUAAUCUUAUUUAUAAUAGCCACAAAUAAAAUUAAAUACCUAGGAAUUAAUUUAAAGCAAUCAACAAUCUCUGUAAUGAGAAUUAUAAAACACUGAUGAAAGAAAUUGAAAAGGACACCAGAAAAUGGAUAGUCUAUGUUUAUGAAUUGGAAGAGUCAAUAUUGUGUAAAAUUCCAUACUACCCAAAGCAAUCUACAGAUUCAGUGCAAUCCCUAUCAAAAUACCAAUGUUAUUUUUCAAUGAAAUAGAUAAAACAAUCUUAAAAUUUCUAUGUAACCACAAAAGACCCAGAAUAGCCAAAGCUAUCCUAGGCAAAAAGAACAAACCUGGAGAAUUCAUAUUACCUGACUUCAAAUUAUACUACAGAGCUAUACUAACCAAACCAGCUUAAUGCUGGUAUAAAAACAGACACAGACCAAUGGAACAGAAUAGAGAAUCUAGAAACAUUCACACUCCUAUAGUGAACUCAUUUUCAAUAGAAGUGCCAAGAACAUACGCUGAGGAAAAGACAGUCUCUUCUUUGAUAAAUGGUGCUGUAAAAACUGGAUAUCCAUAUGCACAAGAAUGAAACUAGAUCCCUAUCUCUCAUUGUAUACAAAAAUCAAAAUGGAUUAAAAACGUAAAGAUCUCAAACUAUGAAACUACUACCAGAAGUCAUUGGGGAAAAUCUCCAGGACAUUGUUCUCAGCAAAAAUUUCUUAAGUAAUUCUCCACAACGACAGGCAACCAAAGCACAAAUGGACAAAUGGGAUCUCAUCAAGUUAAAAAGCUUCUGCACAGCCAAGGAAACAAACAAAAAAUUGAAGAGAGAACCCACAGAAUGAGAGAAAAUAUUUACAAGCUACCCAUUUGACAAAGGAUUAAUAACCAGAAUAUAUGAAAAGCUCCAACAACUCUAUAGGAAAAAAAUCCAAUAACCUGACCAAAAAAUGGGCAAAAUAUCUGAAUAAACAUUUCUUCGAAGAAGACAUGCAAAUGAAAAACAUGAAAAGGUGUUCAACAUCAUUGAUCAUUAGAGAAAUGCAAAUCAAAACUUUAGUGAGUUAUCUCACCCCAGUUAAAAUGGCUUAUAUUCAAAAGACAGGUAAUAACAAGUGCUGGUGUAGAUCUGGAGAAAAUGGAACCAUGUAUACUGUUGGUGAGAAAUUAAUACAACCACUAUGGAAAACAGUUUGGAGGUUCCUCAAAAAAACUGAAAAUGGAGCUACCAUAUGAUCCAGCAAUUUCACUGCUGGGUAUGUACCCUAAAGAAAGAAAAUGAAUAUGUCAAAGAGAUAGCUGCAUUCCUGUGCUUGUUGCAGCACUGUUCACAAUAGCCAAGAUUUGGGAGCAACCUUAGUGUCUAUCACCAGAUGAAUGGAUAAACAAAAUGGGGUACAUAUACAAAAUGGAGUACUAUUCAGCCAUAAAAAAGAAUGAGAUCUAGUCAUUUGCACCAACAUGGAAGGAACUGGAGAUCACUAUUUGAAGUGAAUAAGCAAAGCACAGAAAGACAAACAUCACAUGUUCUCACUUAUUUGUGGGAUCUAAAAAUCAAAACAAUUGAACUCAUAGACAUACAGAGUAGAAGAAUGAUUACCAGAGGGUAGGAAGGGCACUUGUUGGGUUGGGGAGGAAAUUGCAAUGGGUAAUGAGUACAAAAGAAAAAAAAUAGUAUGAUUAAGAUCUAGUAUUUGAUUGCAUAAUCGGGCGACUGUAGUAAAUAAUAAUUGACCAUUUAAAAAUAACUAAAAGGGUAUAAUUGGAUUCUUUGCAACACAAAGGAUAAAUGCUUGAGAGGAUGUAUACAUCCAUUUUUAUGAUUUGCUCAUUACACAUUGCAUGCUUGUAUCAAAAGUUUUCAUGUACCCCAUAAAUACAUACACCUACUAUGUACUACUCACAAAAAUUAAAAAUUAAAAAUACCAUUUUAAAUAAAGAAGAUAGCUUUUUGGGGGGCGGGGACAGGGUCUCACUCUCCAUCUCUCACUCAGACUGCAAUGGUGAGAACAUGAUUCAUUGGGAAAUAAACACAACUUCCUGGGCUCAAGGUGUCCUCCCACCUCAGCCUGCUGAGUAGCUGGGACCACAGGCACACAACACCAUGCCUGGCUAAUUUUUUUUUUUUUUUUUUUUUAAUUUGAGACAAGAUCUCACUAUGUUGCCCAGGCUGGUCUUGAACUCCUGGGCUCAGGCAAACCUCCUGCCUUGGCCUCCCAAAGUGCUGGCAUUACAGGCAUGAGCCACUGCACCCAGCAGCAGUCUUACUUUCUUUAAACCAGAAACUAGGGAUAUUAAAGAGAUCUCAGGAAAAAGUGGCAGGAACAGAAUCUGUCUGUAGUGUACAAAAUGGCUGUUAAACAGAUUUUUGAAUUAAACUUAAAACCUCUUGCAAUUUUUAAAAGCGUGUAUCAAUACUUUAAGAAAACUUUGUUGUUUACACAGACUCUGGUCCUGUAUCAUGUCAUCCCUGACAGCAACAUUUAAUUUUUAGAAUAUCGUAUAAACAAUUUCUUUUCAAUCUCAGUGGACCCAGUCACACAUGAAACUUUUUUCAUGAGACCAGUGCUUUAGAAAUCCUCUUCUACUUGUUUAGUUCUUUCACCACUUUUCAACCCCCACCCCCCAAGUCUUAUUUCUGUAAUUUUUCUUUUUAAAAAAAUUAUGGAACAACAAUUUUAAAUUAGGUAAAAUUUUACCACAUACAAUUUUUUACACAAAAUUAUUUCCUUCUAAAUUCAUAUUUUGAUUAAUAGACACAAAUGUAUUUAGUCUUUCCAUAAAAUUUAAAAAGCCAAGAAUGAACUUAUGUGUACUUAACAAUUUGUUUCUGUUUUUUUCUUAUUUGGAUAUGGCUCAGACAUUUAAUGAGUAUUAUUUAAUUUAACAUAACUUUAAGAUUUUAAAUUACAUGAAAAUUUAUUUGUAAAUGCUUACUCUGUUUGCAAUUACCUAAUUUAUUUAUUUUUUAACAAUUAUACCUUGAUUACCUAUGAAAAUUGAGAUACUAGACAUAGCUAGUUAUUAGGUUUUUAUUAACGAAUUUUAUUGCCUGUUAAUAUCAGGAAUUUCCCUAAGUAAGAACUUUAAGGUUAAAUACAUAGGUCAAUAAGUCCUAUUGUAUAAAUCCUGUCAAUAAGUCAGGAGACACGGCUGAUUUUAUUAAAGCAACAAUAUUAAAUUAAUCUUAUCAAAGGGUUAAAGAUUAUGUUGUUUUAGGCUUUAUCACCUUAUUACAUUAAAAGAUCUAGCAGAGGCAUAUAUAAAACUGUGUGACCAGUAAACUCAAGUGAGAAUGUAUGUUGACACUUUUGAAGAUAUUUCUAAUUUUAUUUUUUCAACCAUUUUUAAACCAAUUUAUCAAGAUUUACUUGUGAACUAAAAAAAAAAAAAAAGUUGGGGUGCCAGGUGCCUAUAAUCCUAGCUACUUGGGAGGCUGUGGCAGAAAGAAUUUCAAGGGCCCAGAAUUUCAAGGUUGCAGUGAGCUAUGAUUAUGCCACUGUACUCCAUUCUAGGUGAAAGAGCAAGACUGUUUCUAUAAUUUUAUUGAAUGGGAUAAUUAGUAUACUAUUGAUUUUAUAUGUGCACCCAAUAUAUCUAAAUAAAAUAUUUUGAGGGAUGUCAAGCUAAUUAUACCAGAUUUUAUUAUGUACAUGUAACAUAUAACACAGUACAUGUACAUAUGUGUAAACACAUCUAAAUGUAUAUAUACACAUAUAAAAAUACUUUCAUAUAUAUGCUCAUAUAAAAAUACUUUCAACUUUCAUUUUAGAAUUUUGGUCAUGAGAUAGUAAAACAUAGAGACUCACUGAUUUUUUUUAAAAAAUACAUUUAUCAGGCGCAUAUGCUAUUUUGUUACAUACAUAGGUUGCAUGGUGGUCAAGUCAGGGCUUUUAGGGUAUUUGUCACCUAAAUAAUGUAUGCUGUAGCCAUUAAAUAAUUUCUCAUCAUUCUCCCUACUCCCACUCCCUCACCUUUCAAGUCUACAUUAUCUAUCUAUGUCCAUUAUCUGUCUAUGUCCAUGUGAACACAUUUUGUAGCACCCACUUAGGAGUGAUAACAGGUAAUAUUUGUCUUUCUGUGCCUGGCUCGUUUCACUUAAGAUAAUGAUUUCCAGGAUGAGUGUGGUGGCUUGUGCCUGUAAUCCCAGGAAUUUAGAAGGCCAACGCAGCCAGAUUGCUUGAUGCCAAAAUUUCAAGACCAGGCUGCGCAUAAUUUCAAGACCUUCUCUUUACAAAUAAAAAUAAAAAUAAAUAGCUGGAGCUGUGGCAUGAACCUGUAGUCCUGGCUAGUUGGAAGGCUGAGGAGGAGGGAUUACUUCAGCCCAGGAUUUCAAGGCUGCAGUGUGCUAUAAUUGUGCCAAGACACUCCAGCCUGGGUGACAUAGCAAGACCUUUUGUCUAGAAGAUAGCAAAGAUAAUGACCUUCAGUUUCAUCUGUAUGGCUGCAAAAUACUUGAUUGUAUUCUUUUUUAUGGUUGAAUAGGAUUCCAUUAUGUAUAUACACCACAUUUUCUUACUCAUUUAUCUAUUGAUAGACACUUAGGUUGAUUCCCCUUUGCUAUGAAUAGUGGUGUGAUAAACAUGCAAGAGCAAGUAUGUUUUUGAUAUAUUGAUUUUUUUCCUUUCAGUAGAUACCUAGCAGUGGUAUUGCUGGAUUGAAUGAUAGUUCUUUUAGUUCUUUGAAAAACCAUACUGUUUUCCGUAAAGGCUGUACUAAUAUCCAUUCCGAGCAACAGUAUAUGAGUUCUCUUUUCUCCAUAUCCUCACCAACAUCUGCUCUUUUUUGUCUUUUUAAUAAUGGCCAUUCUAGCUGGGGUAAAAUGAAAUAUCAUUGUGGUUUUGAUUUGCAUUUCCCUGAUGAUUAAUGAUGAGCAUUUUUUCAUAUACCUGUUGGCCAUUUGUAUGUCUCUUUUGAAAAAUGUCUGUUCAUGUCUUUUGUCCCACAUGGGAUUAUUUGAUUUUAUUGUUUGAGUUCCUUGUAUAUUCUGGAUAUUAGUCCUCUGUUGGAUUGAUAGUUUGAAAAUAUUUUCUCCCAUAUAACAGGUUGUCUCUUCUCUAUGUUGAUUGUUUCCUUUGCUGCGAAGAAGCUUUUUAGUUUAAUUAAGUCCCAUUUGUCUAUUUUUUCUUCUGUUGCCUGUGCUUUUGAGUUCUUAAUCAUUAAUUUGGUGCCUAGAUCAAUGUCCAGAAGAGUUUACUCUAGGUUUCCUUCUAACAUUUUUAAAGUAUUGGGUCUUACAUGUAAGUUUUAAUCCAUCUUGAGAUGGUUUUUGUAUGUGGUGAGAGAUAAGGAUUCAGUUUCAUUUUUCUGCAAUAGAUAUUCAAUUUUUAAGCCAUUUAUUAAAGCGGGUCUUCUUUCCCCCACUGUAUGUGUUGUUGGUUUUGUCAAAAAUCAGUUGGCUGUAAAUAUGUGGCUUUAUUUCUGGAUUCACUAUUCUUUUAUAUUAAUCUGUAUACUAUUUUUAUAUCACUAUCAUGUUAUUUUGCUUACUAGAGCGUUGUAAUAUUAUUUGAAGGCAAAUAAAGUGAUGCUUCCAGCUGUGAUCUUUUUGCUUAAGAUUGCUUUGGUUACUUGGGCUUUGUUUUGGUUCCAUAUGAAUCUUAUGGUUGUUUUUUCUAAUUCUGUGAAAAGCGACACUGGUAUUUUGAUGGGAAUUGCAUUGAAUCUGUAGAUUAGGCAGUUAUGGUCAUUCUAUUAGUCUGUUCUCACACUGCUAUAAAGAACUACCUGAGACUGUAAUUUACAAAGAAAAGAGGUUUAAAAACUCACAGUUCCACUUUGCAGGAAGCAUGAAUGGGAGGCCUCAGUAACAAUCAUGCCAGAAGGUGAAGGGGAAGCAAGCACGUCUUUACCGUGGUGGAACAAGAGCAAGCAAGGGGGAAAUGCCACACACUUUUAAACCAUCAGAUCUCCUGAGAACUCACAGUCACAAGAACAGCAUGGGGGAAAUCCACCCCCCUGAUCCAAUUACCUCCCACAAGGUCCCUCCCCCAACAUUGGGAAUUACAAUUCAACAUGAGAUUUGGUUGGGGACAUGGAACCAAACCAUAUGAGUCACUUUAUUUAUAUUAAUUAUUUCAAUUUAUGAACAUGUGAUAUUCUUCCAUUUGUUUGUGUCAUCUACAAUUUAUUCCAGCAGUGUUUUGUAAUUUUCCUUGUAGAAAUCUUUCACCUCCUUGUAGAAAUCUUUCACCUCCUUGGUUAAAUUUAUUGCUAGGGUUUUUUUUGUAGCUAUUGUAAAUGGGAUUGCCUUCUUGAUUUCUUUCUUUGCAAGGUCAUUAUUGGUAUAUAGAAACACUACUGAUAUUUGUACAAUAAUAUUUUUGUAUUCUUCAACUUUAUUGAAUUCGUUCAUCAAAUCAGAGUUCUUUGGCGGAGUCUAGGUUUUUCUAGAUAUAUGAUUCUAUCAUCAGCAAACAGGGAUAAUUAAACUUCCUCUUUUUAAAUUUGGAUUCCUUUUAUUUAUUUUUCUUUCCUGAUUGCUCUGGCUAGGACAUACCCUAAUACAUUAAAUGAGAGUGGAAAAAUUUGGCAUCCUUGUGUUGUUUCUGUUUUAGAGAAAAUCCUUUCCAAGAUUCCCCCAAUUACUAUGAUGUUAAGGGAGGAGACCACCCCUCAUAUUGUCUUAUGCCCAAUUUCUGCCUCCAAAGAAAGAAGUAGUAAAAAGUAAAAGGCAGAAAUGAAAUCCACAAGCGGACAGCCUGGCGCCACACCCUAGGCCUGGUAGUUAAAGCUUGACCCCUGACCUAAUCGGUUAUUUGCAUAAGAAAAGCACUGUAAAGAUCCCUGUCCUGUUCUGUUCCAUUCUAAUUACCAGUGCAUCCAGCCCCCAGCCACAUACCCCCUGCUUGCUCAAUUGAUCACGACCCUCUCACAGGGACCCCCUUAGAGUUGUGAGCCCUUAAAAAGGACAGGAAUUGCUCACUAGAGGAGCUCAGUUGUUGGAGAUGUGAGUCUUCCCGAAGCUCCUGGCCGAAUAAAGCCCUUCCUUCUUUAACUCAGUGUCUGAGGGGUUUUGUCUGUGGCUUGUCCUGCUACAUUUCUUGGUUCCCUGACCAGGAAGUGAGGUGAUUAACAGACGGUCGAGGCAGCCCCUUAGGCAGUUUAGGCCUACCCCAUGGAGCAUCUCUGUGGGGGACUCCGGCCAGCUUGAGCAACGCAGAUCCUGAGAGUGCUCCUGGGUAGGCAAUUGUCCCAGUGGAACGCCUCACCAGAGCAGUGCGUGGCAGGCCCCUGUGGAGGAUCAACGCAGUGGCUGAACGCCGGGAAGGAACUGGCACUUGGAGUCCAGACAUCUGAAACUUGGUAAGACUAGUCUUUGGAAAUUGCCUACUCCAUUUGAGUGGAAGCGUGGCCUGAUCACCCAUGGCAUGCCUGUACUGGCAGUUUGGUUUUUUGUUUUUGACUUGACUUGGAUUGCUUGAUACUUUGGUUUUGGUUUUGACCUGGCUUGGAUUUCUUGAUACUCUGAUUUUGGUUUUGAUUCUGGUUUGGUGUAAACUGUAAAAGUGUGUGUGUGCCCUUUUUACCCGUUCUUUUUGUGGUGUGCGUGCGGUGUGAGCGUGGUGUUUUGUCUUGAGGAAGCAUGGGUCAGGCACAAAGUAAGCCCACCCCACUAGGAACUAUGUUGAAAAAUUUCAAGAAAGGAUUUAAGGGAGAUUACGGUGUUACUAUGACACCAGGAAAACUUAGGACUUUGUGUGAAAUAGACUGGCCAGCAUUAGAGGUGGGUUGGCCAUCAGAAGGAAGCAUGGACUGGUCCCUUGUUUCAAAGGUAUGGCACAAGGUAACCUGUAAGCCAGGGUGCCCAGACCAGUUCCCGUACAUAGACACUUGGUUACAGCUGGUUUUAGACCCCCUCCCUACCCCCACGGUGGUUGAGAGAACAGCAGCAUAAGCAGCUGGCAGAGGCAAGGAAAGACCAGCAAAGAGACAGAGAAGAAAGAGACAGGAAAAGAGGCAAAGAGAGAGAAGAAGAGAGAGAGGAAGAGACAGAGAGACAAAGAGGGAGUCAAGGAGAAAGAGAGAGAGAGGAAGAGACAGAGGCAAAAGGAAAGUCAAAAAGAGAGACAAUGUCAAAGACAGAGAAAUAUACAAGUAGUUAAAAAAAAGUGUGCCCUAUUCCUUUAAAAGCCAGGGUAAAUUUAAAACCUAUAAUUGAUAAUUGAAGGUAUUCUCUGUAACCCUAUAACACUCCAAUACCACUUUGUUGUCAGUGUAAACAAGGGCAUAUCCCGAAAGCACAGAGGCCACUGAUAACCCGUAGCCUUCCUAUCAAAAAUCUUUAACCCAGUAACCCACGAAUGGCCCAGAUGCAUUCAGUCUGUAGCGGCAAUGGCUUUGCUAACAGAAGAAAGUAAAAAAAUAACUUUUAGAGGAAACCUCAGUGUGAGCAUACCUCACCAGUUCAGAAGUAUCCUAAGGAAAAAAAAAAAAAAAAAAAAGGAUGUUUUAACAUUAACCACGAAAAAAAUCCCUUAACCCAGAAGUUUUCCUAACAGGGCAUCUAAGUCUUAAUUACCAUACAAAGGUCCGACCAGACCAGAAUUCCCUACAGGACAGGACCAUCAAUGGUUCCUCCCGGGUAAUUGAAGGAAAAAAAAAAAAAAAGCCAUCUAUACCAAUUCUAAGUUAAUUUGGACAAAACAAGGUCUUAUUAAUAGCAAAGGAUAAUUAAAAUCCCAAACUUGCAAGGUUUUCAACAAAAGUAAAGUUUGCUAAAAGCUAACAUUGUAACAUGUAUUAUAGUAAAUUAUAAUCUUGUGGCCUUAGACAGUCUAGUCCACAGUCAUAAAGCAAGUUCGCUUUGGAAAAGAAUGGUUAUCUCUGAAAAAAAAAAAAAGAAGAAAAGGAGGGGCAGAAUUUAUGUAAAAAAAGUGUUAUAUGGUAAAUUCUUGUCCUGAAAUAAAUUAACUGGUUGUUUAAAGAAAGAAAUGUUUGUAAUAAGUCAGAAAGUUCAGGCAUUGCUAAGAAUUGUCUGCAAAAGUUGUGAAAGAGAAAUAUGUUAUAAAAAAAAAGAAUUUAUGCAAGAAAAGUUGUAUAAUUUAAAAGUAACUAGGCCUCCUGAAUGUAAAACUAUUGAAAUAAACAGUUUAUGUGCAAGGUGUAUAAGGAAAGUAAAAUAUAACUUUGGUAAAAGGAUUAUAAGGAGGCAAAAGAAUGUAAGUUGUUACAUACAUUAAAAGGUUAAAAAAACUAUUUUGAAGGUUUAAGCAAGUUUUAAAAUGUUAAUUGUAAAGGAAAUUCUGUGUGUAAACAUAUUAGCCAAAGGUAAAGGGGUAACAUCCAGUUUUUCUGUGAAUUGGACAUUAAAGUAAAAACACAAUGGGUUUUUCUUAAAGCACUAACCUGCUCUUUAACAAAGAUUAUAAAAAGUGAGUCUAUAAAAAUCUUACCUGAUGGUCCAACAUGAAAAAUUCAAUAAAUAUGUAUACAAAGUUUUAUUAAAACUAAGUUUAACAUUAAUAACACACUAAUAUAAAGGUGAAAUUUAGCUUAUCUGGUAUAAAAAUCAUACAGGAAGCAUUGUCAAAUAUAAAAUGGUAUUUGGCUUCUUUGGUCUAAAAACUAAUAAAAAUAGGUGCUAAAGGAAAUUUCUCAGUGGAAAGGCACCAAGAACUAUAAAGUCCACUGCUGAUGUCCCCACAUUUAAAACAAAAGGUCAACUUCUUAGAAAUUAUAUACUUGGUUUAUCUUCCACUUUCCUUUCCCUCAAAACUAAAAGUCUUUUAGCACAUGUACCACCCCUAGAAUUUCCGGUAAACCAGCACCAGCCUAUCCGCUCGGGGAUGAACAAGGGCUGACUGAUUGAUAAGCUCUUGAAAAUUCUUAAGCUCACUGCAUCCCUUCAGGUCUCCAAGGAACGCUAAGUUUCUUCCCUGUUGUGAGAGACACGAAGUGAACUUAGUGUUGGGAGACGGAAGCUGGAUGGCCCUCGGGGGCUGACCCGCAGGGUACCGGACUUUGGGAUAUAGCAGAGAGAGCUUGGCAUGACUUACUACUCCAGGCUGUAGAAUCCUGGAUAAGAGCUACCAUGCAGCCCACGUGUGGUCGACUGGAGGAUCAGCUGCUUAGUGGAAAGAGGACAAUCUGGGCCUCUGGCCUGCCAUGUGCACAAGCAUAACAAUUGCUUUUGUUUAACGUGCAGAUGGAAUAUUUGAUCCAUUCCAACCAGGCAUUUGCAUCUUGGUAUCCUGUCUUAAUUGCCAAAGUUUGUUUUAAGUCUUUAACUUCUAUCAUCCUCUAGUAAAAUGAAUGUAUGAUUUUAGGAAAUUACAAAAACCGGUUGGGGCAGCCCAUCCUUGCUCUUUAGUGGUCCACAGAAUGUUGGACCAACUACGGCAUAAAAGCUCUACAUAGGGGAGCAAGACUCCUGGUUGACACUGGAGUCUUAAUCAAAAUUUCCCCAGAUUAAAUGGUCCUAAUUUACUAAUGCCCAGUCUGAGGAGAGUCAGGAGGGACAGAGGUACUUUUCUGAAGUAGAGAGCUGUCUUUGACUGGGCAAGUCCCCACAGGGUAUAACAAGGCAAGCAUUAAAUGCAAUAGUUUGAGGCAAAAUUGACUUGGUUAUGUUAAUAACCAGAUGGUCAGCAAAAGAGCGAGGUAAGAAGAAAGAGUAAUAGAAUAGAUUAAGACUUAAAUUUUUGUUAGCUUUAGUUUGGUAAGGUUUUCCCCUGGGACUAUGGCCCAUGACUCUGGAGGGGGUGGCACUUUCUUGACUUGGUUGUGAUUAGUCCAUCCUUUUUUCACUGUAUGAACAGCAGUCUCGGUGUUUAGCAGCACAAGGUAGGGUCCUUCCUAGGCUGGAUCGAGUUUCCUUUCUUUUCACCCUUUGAUGAGAACGUGAUCUUCAGGAUGUGUGGUGGUAUUGUGAUUGUGUGUGGACCUUUACUGGGCACUCUGCCGAAUAACUGGAGUGGCACUUGUACUUUAGUUCAAUUGGCUAUCCCUUUCACCCUGGCAUUUCAUCAACCAGAGGGAAGAAAAAUAAGACAUUGUAAAGCGAGAGAAGGCCCUUAUGGGUUUUUUGACUCUCACGUCUAUUUAGACACAAUUGGAGUCCCACGGGGAAUACCAGAUCAAUUUAAAGCUUGAAAUCAAAUAGCUGCAGGAUUUGAGUCAAUAUUUUGGUGGGUGGCAGUUAAUAAAAAUGUAAAUUGGAUAAACUACAUCUAUUACAACCAACAGCAAUGAGCUUUUCAUGAGUUAAAAGAAAAACUCCUGUUGGCCCCAGCCCUGAGGCUACCCGACCUGACAAAAGCCUUUACACUCUAUGUGUCAGAAAAAGAAAACACGGCAGUUGGAGUUUUAACCCAGACUGUGGGGCCCUGGCCAAGGCCAGUGGCCUAUCUCUCAAAACAACUAGACGGGGUUUCCAAAGGCUGGCCCCCAUGGCUAAGGGCCCUGGCAGCAAUGGCCCUGUUAGCACAAGAAGCAGAUAAACUAACCCUUGGGCAAAACCUGAAUAUAAAGACCCCCCCAUGCUGUGGUAACUUUGAUGAAUACCAAAGGACAUCAUUGGCUAACAAAUGCUAGAUUAACCAAGUACCAAAGCUUGCUAUGUGAAAAUCCCCACAUAACCAUUGAAGUUUGCGACACCCUAAACCCUGCCACCUUGCUCCCGGUAUCAGAGAGCCCAGUUGAAUAUCACUGUGUUGUAUUGCACUCAGUUUAUUCUAGUGGGCCCAACCUCUGAGACCAUCCUUGAACAUCAGUAGACUGUGAGUUGUACAUGGGCGAGAGCAGCUUCGCCAACCCCUGCAAAGUGACUCUGAAGAAGAUGACAAUACCUGCUUCAGUCACACCCGGAAGCUGACUGGUCCACGCAUGGCCAAAGCAUGAGAAAACUCAUUGCGGGACUCAUUUUCCUUAAAAUUUGGACUUAUACCAUAGGGACUUCAACUGACCUUCCUCAGACUGAAGACUAUUCCCAGUAUAUACGUCAAGUCACUGAGGUAGGAAAAAAGUUGCUACAGUCCUAUUAUUUUAUGGUUAUUAUAAGUAUACCAGGACUCUAAAAAGAACUUGUUUGUAUAAUGCUAUUCUAUACAAGGUAUGUAGCCCAGGAAAUGACCAACCUGAUGUGUGUUAUGACCCAUCUGAGCCUCCCAUGACCACAGUUUUUAAGAUUAAGGACUGAAACCUGGUGGGGGCUCAUAAACGAUAUGAGUAAAGUGUUAGCCAAAACAAAAGAAAAAGGGGUGCCCAAACAAGUCACCUUGAAGUUUGAUGCCUGUGUUGUCAUUAAUAGUAAUAAGUUAGGAAUAGGAUGUGGUUCUCUUAAUUAGGAAAAAGGCUAUAUGGCAAAAAAAAAAAAAAAGUACAUUUGUCAUAAAUUAGGACUGUAUGGAAAUGAACGUGCAUACUGGUCUUGUGUCAUUUCGGCUACUUGGAUAAAAAAUGAAAAGGAUCCCGUCCACCUUCAGAAAGGGAAAAGUGGCCCUUCCUGUACAAGUGGUCAGUGUAACCCCUUAGAACUAGUAAUAACCAACCCCCUUGAUCCUCACUGGAAAAAAGGGGAGCGUGUAACCCUAGGAAUUGAGGGGGCUGGACUGGAUCCUCGAGUAAAUAUCAUGGCUUGAGGAGAAGUUUAUAAACGCUCUCCUGAGCCAGUAUCUCAACCCUUCUACGAUUAACUGAAUGUGUCAGUACCAGAAAUUCCAGGAAAAACAAGAAAUUUGUUUUUACAAUUAGCUGAGCAUGUAGCCUAGUCUCUCAGUUUCACUUCAUGUUAUGUAUGUGGAGGAACUAUAAUGGGAGAUCAAUGGCCAUGGGAAGCCUGAGAAUUAGUACCUACAGACCCAGUUCCUGAUGAAUCCCCAGUUCAAAAGAAUCACCCUGAUAACUUCUGGGUCCUAAAAGCCUCAAUUAUUAGACAAUACUGUAUAGCAAGAGUGGGGAAGGACUUCAACCUUCCUGUGGGAAGACUCAACUGCCUUGAGCAAAAACUGUAUAAUAUUACUACAAAAACAGCCACCUAGUGGAGUUCAAACCACACUAAGAAAAAUCCAUUUAGUAAAUUCCCAAAGUUGCAAACCAUGUGAACCCACCCAGAGUCCCACUGGGACUGGGCAGCCCCCACUGGAUUAUACUGGAUAUGUGGGCAUAGAGCUUACACCAAAUUACCCUACCAGUGGGCAGAUAGUUGUGUUAUUGGCACUAUUAAACCAUCUUUCUUCCUACUGCCCAUAAAGACAGGCAAACUCCUGGGCUUCCCUGUCUAUGCUUCCCACAAAAAGAGAAGCAUAGCUAUAGGAAAUUGGAAAGAUAAUGAAUGGCCCCCUGAGAGAAUCAUAUAAUAUUAUGGGCCCGCUACUUGGGCACAAGAUGGCUCGCGGUGAUAUGGGACCCCCAUUUACAUGCUGAACUGAAUCAUACGGUUACAAGCUGUCUUAGAAAUAAUCACUAAUAAGAUCGGCAGAGCCUUGACUAUUCUGACCCAGCAAGAAACUCAGAUGAGAAAUGCUGUCUAUCAAAAUAGAUUGGCUCUCGACUACUUGCUAGCAGCUGAAGGAGGGGUCUGUGGGAAAUUUAACCUUACUAAUUGCUGUCUACACAUAGAUGAUCAGGGGCAAGUAGUUGAAGGCAUAGGGAUAUGACAAAACUGGCACAUGUGCCCGUGCAAGUGUAUCAUGGAUUUGAUCCUGGAGCCAUGUUUGGAAAAUGGUUCCCAGUGCUAGGAGAGUUUAAAACUCUUAUAAUAAGAGUCAUAAUAGUAAUAGGAACCUGCUUACUGCUCCCUUGUUUGCUACCUGUACUUCUUCAAAUGAUAAAAUGCUUCAUCACUACCUUAGUUCACCAAAAUGCUUUAGCACAAGUGUACUAUAUGAAUUACUAUCAAUCAGUCUUGCAAGAAGACAUGGGUAGUGAGAAUGAAAGUGAGAACUCCCACUAUUGAGUGAGAUUCUCAAAGGGGCAGAAUAAGGGAGGAGACCACCCCUCAUAUUGUCUUAUGCCCAAUUUCUGCCUCCAAAGAAGUAAAAACUAAAAGGCAGAAAUGAAAUCCACAAGCAGACAGCCCGGUGCCACACCCUGGGCCUGGUAGUUAAAGAUCGACCCCUGACCUAAUUGGUUAUUUGCAUAAGAAAAGCACUGUAAAGAUCCCUGUCCUGUUCUGUUCCCUUCUAAUUACUGGUGCAUGCAGCCCCCAGUCAUGUAACCCCUGCUUGCUCAAUCAUGACCCUCUCACGCGGACCCCCUUAGAGUUGUGAGCCCUUAAAAGGGACAGGAAUUGGUCACUCAGGGAGCUCUUGGAGUGAGCAAUUCCUGUCCCUUUUAAGGACAGGAAUUGUGUUGGAGAUGUGAGUCUUGCCAAAGCUCCCGGCCGAAUAAAGCCCUUCCUUAACUCGAUGUCUGAGGGGUUUUGUCUGUGGCUUGUCCUGCUACAAUGUUAGCUGUGAGUUUGUAGUAUAUGGCCUUUAUUAUUUUGAGGCAUGUUCCUUCUGUGCUUAGUUCUUUGAGAGUUUUUAUUAUGAAGGGAUGCUGAAUUUUAUGAAAUGUUUUUUCUGGGUCUAUUGAGAUCGUCAUGUGGGUUUUGUUCUUGAUUCUCUUAAUGCAAAGUAUCGUAUUUGUUGAUUUGCAUAUGUUGAGUUGUCCUUGCAUCUCUGGUAUAAAACCUACUUGAUUAUGGUGUAUUAUCUUUUUCUGUGCCCUGUUUUGAUUUAAUAGUAUUUAUAUGUAUUUUUUUAUUAUACUUUAAGUUCUAGGGUACAUGUGCACAACGUGCAGGUUUGUUACAUAUGUAUACAUGUGCUAUGUUGGUGUGCUGCACCCAUUAACUCAUCAUUUACAUUAGGUGUAUCUCCUAAUGCUAUCCCUCCCCCGUCCCCCCACCCCGUGACAGGCCCUGGUGUGUGAUGUUCCCUGCCCUGUGUCCAAGUGUUCUCAUUGUUCAAUUCCCACCUAUGAGUGAGAACAUGCAGUGUUUGAUUUUCUGUCCUUGCAAUAGUUUGCUCAGACUGAUGGUUUCCAGCUUCAUCCAUGUCCCUACAAAGGACAUGAACUCAUC
This 30245-nucleotide long non-coding RNA is filed under the name Homo sapiens (human). Its description in RNAcentral is "non-protein coding DANT2:6". Lineage: Eukaryota; Metazoa; Chordata; Mammalia; Primates; Hominidae. The record is from RNAcentral.